RNAcentral lists this ribosomal RNA (265 nucleotides) under uncultured archaeon. RNAcentral's name for it is "partial 16S ribosomal RNA". It matches the Rfam family "Archaeal small subunit ribosomal RNA", at positions 718 to 982 of the family's 1478-position model. The record is from RNAcentral.
AGUCACUGACAUUAGAUACCCCGGUAGUCCCAGCCGUAAACCAUGUGCGUUAGGUGUGUCGGUAACCACGUGUUACUGAUGCGCCGAAGAGAAAUCGUGAAACGCACCACCUGGGAAGUACGGUCGCAAGGCUGAAACUUAAAGGAAUUGGCGGGGGCGCACCACAACAGGUGGAGCCUGCGGUUUAAUUGGAUUCAACGCCGGACAUCUCACCGGAUAAGACAGCUGAAUGAUUGUCAAUCUGAAGGUUUUACAUGACUAGCUG